Molecule: ribosomal RNA, 498 nt
Filed under: uncultured bacterium
Lineage: Bacteria
Description: partial 16S ribosomal RNA
Rfam family: Bacterial small subunit ribosomal RNA
Source: RNAcentral
GAUGAACGCUGGCGGCGUGCCUAAUACAUGCAAGUCGAACGCUUCACUUCGGUGAAGAGUGGCGAACGGGUGAGUAAUACAUAAGUAACCUGGCAUCUACAGGGGGAUAACUGAUGGAAACGUCAGCUAAGACCGCAUAGGUGUAGAGAUCGCAUGAACUCUAUAUGAAAAGUGCUACGGGACUGGUAGAUGAUGGACUUAUGGCGCAUUAGCUGGUUGGUAGGGUAACGGCCUACCAAGGCGACGAUGCGCAGCCGACCUGAGAGGGUGACCGGCCACACUGGGACUGAGUCACGGCCCAGACUCCUACGGGAGGCAGCAGUAGGGAAUUUUCGGCAAUGGGGGAAACCCUGACCGAGCAACGCCGCGUGAAGGAAGAAGUAAUUCGUUAUGUAAACUUCUGUCAUAGAGGAAGAACGGUGGAUAUAGGGAAUGAUAUCCAAGUGACGGUACUCUAUAAGAAAGCCACGGCUAACUACGUGCCAGCCGCCGCCGUAA